This 474-nucleotide ribosomal RNA is filed under the name uncultured bacterium. RNAcentral describes it as "bacterial SSU rRNA". It matches the Rfam family "Bacterial small subunit ribosomal RNA", at positions 34 to 507 of the family's 1533-position model. The record is from RNAcentral.
CGCUGGCGGCGUGCUUAAUACAUGCAAGUCAACUUGACCUUAGAUAGCAAUAUCGAAAGUAGGGUGGCGCACGGGUGCGUAACGCGUAGGUAAUCCUGCCCUGAGGUCUGACAUAACCCGUCGAAAGGCGGGCUAACAUCAGAUGAUAUAUAAUCACGACAUCGUGGAAAUAUCAAAUCUUCGGAGCCUUGGGAUGAGCCUGCGUCUGAUUAGGUAGUUGGCGGAGUAAUAGCCCACCAAGCCUACGAUCAGUAGCUGGUCUGAGAGGAUGAUCAGCCACACUGGAACUGAGACACGGUCCAGACUCCUACGGGAGGCAGCAGUAAGGAAUAUUGCUCAAUGGGGGAAACCCUGAAGCAGCAACGCCGCGUGAAGGAUGAAAUACUUCUGUAUGUAAACUUCUGUAAGAUGGGAAAAAUAUUCUCCUCGGGAGAAUUGAUUGUACCAUCAGAGUAAGCCCCGGCUAACUACGUG